CUGCCCAAUGAUUUAAUUUAAUGGCCGCGGUAUUUUGACCGUGCAAAGGUAGCAUAAUCAUUAGUCUAUUAAUUGUUGACUUGUAUGAAUGGUUGGACGAGAUAUUGACUGUCUCAAUUUAUUUAAUUGAAUUUGAAUUUUGAGUUAAAAUGCUUAAAUGUUUUUAAAGGACGAGAAGACCCUAUAGAUCUUUAUUAAUUGAUUUUCUUAUUUGUUUAGUUUAUUAUUUAUUCGUAUAUUUAUUAAUUUUGUUGGGGUGACAUGGGGAUAUAAAUAACUCUUUAUUAUUUUUUACUUUGAUUUUUGUAUGUUUGACCUUGUAUUAUUGUUAUAAGAUAAAGAUACCUUAGGGAUAACAGCGUAAUUCUUUUUGAGAGUUCAUAUCGACAAAGGAGAUUGCGACCUCGAUGUUGGAUUAAGAUAAAAAUUAGGUGUAGGUGCUUGAUUAUUAGGUCUGUUCGACCUUUAAAUUCUUACAUGAUCUGAGU
RNAcentral lists this ribosomal RNA (488 nucleotides) under Haaniella cf. grayii SB0248. RNAcentral's name for it is "partial 16S ribosomal RNA". It matches the Rfam family "Bacterial large subunit ribosomal RNA", at positions 1859 to 2610 of the family's 2925-position model. Lineage: Eukaryota; Metazoa; Arthropoda; Insecta; Phasmatodea; Heteropterygidae. The record is from RNAcentral.